RNAcentral lists this ribosomal RNA (477 nucleotides) under uncultured bacterium. RNAcentral's name for it is "partial 16S ribosomal RNA". It matches the Rfam family "Bacterial small subunit ribosomal RNA", at positions 30 to 507 of the family's 1533-position model. The record is from RNAcentral.
AUUGAACGCUGGCGGCAUGCCUUACACAUGCAAGUCGAACGGUAACAGGUUAAGCUGACGAGUGGCGAACGGGUGAGUAAUGUAUCGGAACGUGCCCAGUCGUGGGGGAUAACUGCUCGAAAGAGCAGCUAAUACCGCAUACGACCUGAGGGUGAAAGCGGGGGAUCGCAAGACCUCGCGCGAUUGGAGCGGCCGAUAUCAGAUUAGGUAGUUGGUGAGGUAAAGGCUCACCAAGCCGACGAUCUGUAGCUGGUCUGAGAGGACGACCAGCCACACUGGGACUGAGACACGGCCCAGACUCCUACGGGAGGCAGCAGUGGGGAAUUUUGGACAAUGGGCGCAAGCCUGAUCCAGCCAUGCCGUGUGCGGGAAGAAGGCCUUCGGGUUGUAAACCGCUUUUGUCAGGGAAGAAAAGGUUCUGGCUAAUACCUGGGACUCAUGACGGUACCUGAAGAAUAAGCACCGGCUAACUACGUG